UAUAGAGGGUGCGAGCGUUAAUCGGAAUUACUGGGCGUAAAGCGCGCGUAGGCGGCUUUGCAAGUCGGGUGUGAAAUCCCCAGGCUCAACCUGGGAACUGCAUUCGAGACUGCAUUGCUAGAGUAUGGGAGAGGGAAGUGGAAUUUCCGGUGUAGCGGUGAAAUGCGUAGAUAUCGGAAGGGACAUCAGUGGCGAAAGCGACUUCCUGGACCAAUACUGACGCUCAUGUGCGAAAGCGUGGGGAGCAAACAGG
This 253-nucleotide ribosomal RNA is filed under the name uncultured bacterium. RNAcentral's name for it is "partial 16S ribosomal RNA". It matches the Rfam family "Bacterial small subunit ribosomal RNA", at positions 524 to 776 of the family's 1533-position model. The record is from RNAcentral.